GUCAAAACUCCUGCACUAAACAAGAAAUGGCAGUAAUUUGAAGUGGUGCUUCAUGCCCUAAACUAGCAUUGUUUGUGAAUUUCUUUACCUCCAGUCCGUCUCAUAACAAACCUAGUGGUUUUAUGCUGCACGUGCGCCAACUCACCUUCAUUGGUAGCACUAUGGAUAAGCAAGGCAACUUGAUUUCAAUCUAUGUUGGUACUUGUUAGGGUAUGGUUCUGGAAUUUUUCUGAUGCAGAUUAGGCUUAUACCAAAGAUGUGGAGACGUCUCUAAGAUAUGGAAGAGAUUGCAAAGCUCUGAGAAUCCAUGCCAA
Molecule: unclassified non-coding RNA, 314 nt
Filed under: Hevea brasiliensis (rubber tree)
Lineage: Eukaryota; Viridiplantae; Streptophyta; Magnoliopsida; Malpighiales; Euphorbiaceae
Source: RNAcentral